RNAcentral lists this ribosomal RNA (644 nucleotides) under uncultured bacterium. RNAcentral's name for it is "bacterial SSU rRNA". It matches the Rfam family "Bacterial small subunit ribosomal RNA", at positions 76 to 750 of the family's 1533-position model. The record is from RNAcentral.
UGAAGUUUCAGGAUGGAUGCACUUAGUGGCGGACGGGUGAGUAACGCGUGGGUACCUGCCUCACACUGGGGGAUAACAGUUAGAAAUAGCUGCUAAUACCGCAUAAGUCCGCAUGGAAAAAACUCCGGUGGUGUGAGAUGGACCCGCGUCUGAUUAGCCAGUUGGCGGGGUAACGGCCCACCAAAGCGACGAUCAGUAGCCGGCCUGAGAGGGUGAACGGCCACAUUGGGACUGAGACACGGCCCAAACUCCUACGGGAGGCAGCAGUGGGGAAUAUUGCACAAUGGGGGAAACCCUGAUGCAGCGACGCCGCGUGAGUGAAGAAGUAUUUCGGUAUGUAAAGCUCUAUCAGCAGGGAAGAAGUGACGGUACCUGAAUAAGAAGCCCCGGCUAACUACGUGCCAGCAGCCGCGGUAAUACGUAGGGGGCAAGCGUUAUCCGGAUUUACUGGGUGUAAAGGGAGCGUAGACGGCAAGGCAAGUCUGAAGUGAAAGCCCGGUGCUUAACGCCGGGACUGCUUUGGAAACUGUUUGGCUGGAGUGCCGGAGAGGUAAGCGGAAUUCCUAGUGUAGCGGUGAAAUGCGUAGAUAUUAGGAAGAACACCAGUGGCGAAGGCGGCUUACUGGACGGUAACUGACGUUGAG